GAUCCUGGCUUAGGACGAACGCUGGCGGCGUGCUUAACACAUGCAAGUUGAACGGUAUGACAUGGAAGCUUGCUGAAGUGUCAUAUAGUAGCGGACGGGUGAGUAAUGCAUGAGAAGCUGCCAUUGGAGGGGGACAACAGUUGGAAACGGCUGCUAAUACCCCGUAUGCCGGAGGGUGAAAGGGAGUAAUCCGCCCGAUGAGGUGCUCAUGUCCUAUCAGCUGGUUGGUGGGGUAACGGCCUACCAAGGCGACGACGGGUAGCCGGCCUGAGAGGGUGAACGGCCACACUGGAACUGAGAUACGGUCCAGACUCCUACGGGAGGCAGCAGUGGGGAAUAUUGGGCAAAUGGGGGCAACCCUGACCCAGCGACGCCGCGUGGGGGAAGACGGCCUUCGGGUUGUAAACCUCUUUUGUACGGGAAGAAGGAAGUGACAGUACUGUACGAAUAAGUCCCGGCUAACUACGUGCCAGCCGCCGC
RNAcentral lists this ribosomal RNA (480 nucleotides) under uncultured bacterium. RNAcentral's name for it is "bacterial SSU rRNA". It matches the Rfam family "Bacterial small subunit ribosomal RNA", at positions 15 to 518 of the family's 1533-position model. The record is from RNAcentral.